This 87-nucleotide transfer RNA is filed under the name Streptomyces stelliscabiei. Its description in RNAcentral is "tRNA-Leu". It matches the Rfam family "tRNA". From Rfam's summary of the family: Transfer RNA (tRNA) molecules are approximately 80 nucleotides in length. Lineage: Bacteria; Bacillati; Actinomycetota; Actinomycetes; Kitasatosporales; Streptomycetaceae. The record is from RNAcentral.
GCGGCCUUGGCGGAACUGGCAGACGCCUCGCGUUUAGGGCGCGAUGGGAGCAAUCCCGUGAGGGUUCGAAUCCCUCAGGCCGCACCC